AUGGAUGCUAACUUUUGGAAAGGUGUGCUCCUAUGCAUAAAGGUGUUUGAGCCAUUAGUGAGAGUUCUUUGUUUGGUUGAUGGGGAUAUUAAGCCAUCGAUGGCUUGGUUGUAUGGAGAGUUGGUGAAUGCAAAGAGGGAGAUGAAGGAGGCAUUUAACAACUUGGAGAGGAACUACAAAGAUAUUAUGGCCAUUGUUGAUAAGAAGAUGAAUGGUCUUGAUUCUCCACUUCACAUGGCCGCAUAUGUCUUGAACUCAUACUUCAGUUAUGUGGAUAGAUCCAUCUUUACCACUGCAAAUAAAGGAUUCCAGGAGUCUGCUGAACAAUACUUUGCAAAUGAUCAUUAUACUUGCAUGUUGGUUGUCAAUGAUGAGUUUCCGAAGUAUGAAAACAAAGAAGGACCUUUUGGAAAGAGGCUUGCAAAAGCAUGUGAAAACAAAAGCUACAGCCCGAGUAUACUUGCUAGCUCAUGCCCCCUACUUGAUGAAAUCCUCUCUCUGACCUCUAGCUCUUCUGGUUGUGAAAGAAACUGGAGUGCAUUUGAAUCGGUAUACCUCUCCUCUCAUUUUUGUCUCCUCUCAUUUCUGACUUCUCACCUCUCAUUUUUGUUUUCUAAUAUGCUCAUGUGA
Molecule: ribosomal RNA, 630 nt
Filed under: Triticum aestivum (bread wheat)
Lineage: Eukaryota; Viridiplantae; Streptophyta; Magnoliopsida; Poales; Poaceae
Description: partial small subunit ribosomal RNA
Source: RNAcentral